RNAcentral lists this ribosomal RNA (486 nucleotides) under uncultured bacterium. Its description in RNAcentral is "bacterial SSU rRNA". It matches the Rfam family "Bacterial small subunit ribosomal RNA", at positions 28 to 510 of the family's 1533-position model. The record is from RNAcentral.
GACGAACGCUGGCGGCGUGCUUAACACAUGCAAGUCGAGCGGUAAGGCCCUUUCGGGGGUACACGAGCGGCGAACGGGUGAGUAACACGUGGGUGACCUGCCCUCAGCUCUGGGAUAAGCCUGGGAAACCGGGUCUAAUACUGGAUAUGACUCCAUGACGCAUGUUGUGGGGUGGAAAGCCUUGUGCGGCUGAGGAUGGGCCCGCGGCCUAUCAGCUUGUUGGUGGGGUGANGGCCUACCAAGGCACGACGGGUAGCCGGCCUGAGAGGGCGACCGGCCACACUGGGACUGAGACACGGCCCAGACUCCUACGGGAGGCAGCAGUGGGGAAUCUUGCGCAAUGGGCGAAAGCCUGAUCCAGCGACGCCGCGUGGGUGAAGAAGGCCUGCGGGUUGUAAAGCCCUUUCAGUGGGGAAGAAAAGCCUCGACCUAACACGUCGGGUCUUGACGUAACCCAUAGAAGAAGCACCGGCUAACUCUGUGCCA